This 222-nucleotide ribosomal RNA is filed under the name uncultured bacterium. Its description in RNAcentral is "partial 16S ribosomal RNA". It matches the Rfam family "Bacterial small subunit ribosomal RNA", at positions 328 to 539 of the family's 1533-position model. The record is from RNAcentral.
ACGCUCGACACCUACGGGAGGAGCAGUAGGGAAUCUUCCACAAUGGACGCAAGUCUGAUGGAGCAACGCCGCGUGAGUGAAGAAGGUUUUCGGAUCGUAAAGCUCUGUUGUUGGUGAAGAAGGAUAGAGGUAGUAACUGGCCUUUAUUUGACGGUAAUCAACCAGAAAGUCACGGCUAACUACGUGUCAGCAGCCGCGGUAAUCUGAGCGGGCUGGCAAGGC